This 662-nucleotide long non-coding RNA is filed under the name Trifolium pratense (red clover). RNAcentral's name for it is "long non-coding RNA (TPRA_LNC003289)". Lineage: Eukaryota; Viridiplantae; Streptophyta; Magnoliopsida; Fabales; Fabaceae. The record is from RNAcentral.
GAGACUGUAUCAGAGCCUUGAGUUAAGAAUUCUCUUACCUCGAGUUUGAAGGGGCUGUUAGAGGAUAUAAUUCAAUCAGGAAUUAGUUAGUUUGUUAUAGUCAGUUAGACUUUAGAUCGAUAGCUAGUUUCUCUAUAUAUAGAGUGCUAAUUGUAUUACUUUCUUUAUCUUUUGUUAAUAUGAUUCCAUUUGAGUCGAAAUAUCUCUCAAAACUCUCCAAGCGCCCGGUUUAUUGAGAAUGACGAUCAUCCAUCAUCAAACUAGUAAUAUUGUAGUUUUUGAAACUGGGUAGCUAUGAACCACUGACUAGUUUUUUUUCAUGUGUCUGUCAAAUUAGAAAAUGCUUAAACAUUUGAGAUUUUGCUGCGUUGUUUUGCUUCGUUGUUUGCACGUGAUUUCACAUUGACAUGGAACUGGAAAGUGGAAACAUUGUAUGUAUGGAUGUUGAGUUUAAGUUCGACAAUGCCUUGUCACGAUACUCUGGUAAAAUUUAUAGAUGUGUUUUAGAAAACAACUUCAUUAAGUUCAUAUUUGUAAGCUAUUAUGGAGAAUUUGCUAAGAGUCAGGUGUUUAUGUCAUGAAGCUUGCCCUCUAUAUCCUUGUCACAACACUUAAUUCUGAUUUAUGGUUUUUAUAGAUCAUCCUCUUAAAUAAGCAUCGAC